CCCUUAGACGUUCUGGGCCGCACGCGCGCUACACUGACCAGUGCAACAAGCAUCCGUCCUUGGCCGACAGGCUCGGGCAAUCUUUGAACGCUGGUCGUGAUGGGGAUAGACUUUUGCAAUUUUUGGUCUUCAACGAGGAAUUCCUAGUAAACGCAAGUCAUCAACUUGCAUUGAUUACGUCCCUGCCCUUUGUACACACCGCCCGUCGCACCUACUGAUUGAAUGGUCCGGUGAAGCCUCCGGAUUGGCGCGCACCUCGGUGCCGCCGAGAAGUUGGCUAAACCUUACCAUUUAGAGGAAGGUGAAGUCGUAACA
This 315-nucleotide ribosomal RNA is filed under the name uncultured eukaryote. RNAcentral describes it as "partial 18S ribosomal RNA". It matches the Rfam family "Eukaryotic small subunit ribosomal RNA", at positions 1470 to 1796 of the family's 1831-position model. The record is from RNAcentral.